CGGAGGGCAAGAUUGUGGGAAGCAGCGGGUUGGGAUAGGGUGGCGAGGCAUGGGCCGUGGGGCUGGGACGAAGACACCCCUCUCUCCGCGCUCGCCACUGGCUAUGUGGGCGAGUGGCGGGCGGCGUUCACUGCUGUCCUCUUUUUGGUGUUUCGAGCGAGGCGGAGGGGAAAUAGAUAAAUGAUCAGCCCGCACUGACUGGAAGGAGCCGGCCGUCUAUUUCACCAGGCCGGAGAGAGCAUGUCUUUCCGAGGCGGAGGUCGCGGAGGCUUUAAUCGCGGUGGUGGAGGUGGAGGCUUCAAUCGUGGCGGCGGCAGCAACAACCACUUCCGAGGGGGCGGCGGCGGUGGUGGCGGCGGCGGCAAUUUCAGGGGCGGCGGCCGAGGAGGAUUUGGACGAGGGGGCGGUCGUGGAGGCUUCAAUAAAUUCCAAGAUCAAGGGCCUCCAGAACGAGUCGUCUUAUUAGGAGAGUUCAUGCAUCCCUGUGAAGAUGACAUCGUUUGUAAAUGUACCACAGAAGAAAACAAGGUGCCUUACUUCAAUGCUCCUGUUUAUUUAGAAAACAAAGAACAAAUCGGGAAAGUGGAUGAAAUAUUUGGACAACUUAGAGAUUUUUAUUUUUCAGUUAAAUUGUCAGAAAACAUGAAGGCAUCUUCUUUUAAAAAGCUACAGAAGUUUUACAUAGACCCAUAUAAGCUGCUGCCACUGCAGAGGUUUCUGCCUCGGCCUCCUGGUGAGAAAGGACCUCCCAGAGGUGGUGGCGGUGGAGGUGGUGGUGGCAGGGGAGGUCGAGGAGGAGGAAGAGGAGGCGGUGGCCGAGGUGGUGGUUUUAGAGGUGGAAGAGGAGGAGGUGGGGGCUUCAGAGGAGGAAGAGGAGGAGGCGGCGGAUUCCGAGGAAGGGGACAUUAGAUGUCCAGUUGGCAGACCUGACCACUUCUGUUUCCGCUGCGUGGCCUGCCUCUGCUGUGGCUGGCGUCUGUCUGGAGCAGUCUUGAGGGUGCCAUUCUGUCAGUGGAACUGGAUCGCCAGCAUCGAGUCAGAUCCAGGGGAACAGGACAGUCAAUUUUGCUCAGAAGGAGGAGAACCCCUGCUUUGUACAGUAUCUGGCACUCUGUGGGUGCUUAAAGAACCAUGGGACUUUUCAUUUGAAGCAUAUUUGGAUUUUUUAAAUAAAAUUUUUAAUUUCCU
This 1188-nucleotide long non-coding RNA is filed under the name Rattus norvegicus (Norway rat). Its description in RNAcentral is "long non-coding RNA NONRATT015061". Lineage: Eukaryota; Metazoa; Chordata; Mammalia; Rodentia; Muridae. The record is from RNAcentral.